GGUAAUACGUAGGGCGCAAGCGUUAUCCGGAAUUAUUGGGCGUAAAGAGCUCGUAGGCGGUUUGUCGCGUCUGCCGUGAAAGUCCGGGGCUCAACUCCGGAUCUGCGGUGGGUACGGGCAGACUAGAGUGAUGUAGGGGAGACUGGAAUUCCUGGUGUAGCGGUGAAAUGCGCAGAUAUCAGGAGGAACACCGAUGGCGAAGGCAGGUCUCUGGGCAUUAACUGACGCUGAGGAGCGAAAGCAUGGGGAGCGAACAGGAUUAGAUACCCUGGUAGUCCAUGCCGUAAACGUUGGGCACUAGGUGUGGGGGACAUUCCACGUUUUCCGCGCCGUAGCUAACGCAUUAAGUGCCCCGCCUGGGGAGUACGGCCGCAAGGCUAAAACUCAAAGGAAUUGACGGGGGCCCGCACAAGCGGCGGAGCAUGCGGAUUAAUUCGAUGCAACGCGAAGAACCUUACCAAGGCUUGACAUGAACCGGAAACGUCUGGAAACAGGCGCCCCACUUGUGGUCGGUUUACAGGUGGUGCAUGGUUGUCGUCAGCUCGUGUCGUGAGAUGUUGGGUUAAGUCCCGCAACGAGCGCAACCCUCGUUCCAUGUUGCCAGCGCGUAAUGGCGGGGACUCAUGGGAGACUGCCGGGGUCAACUCGGAGGAAGGUGGGGACGACGUCAAAUCAUCAUGCCCCUUAUGUCUUGGGCUUCACGCAUGCUACAAUGGCCGGUACAAAGGGUUGCGAUACUGUGAGGUGGAGCUAAUCCCAAAAAGCCGGUCUCAGUUCGGAUUGGGGUCUGCAACUCGACCCCAUGAAGUCGGAGUCGCUAGUAAUCGCAGAUCAGCAACGCUGCGGUGAAUACGUUCCCGGGCCUUGUACACACCGCCCGUCAAGUCACGAAAGUUGGUAACACCCGAAG
RNAcentral lists this ribosomal RNA (910 nucleotides) under Arthrobacter ginsengisoli. Its description in RNAcentral is "bacterial SSU rRNA". It matches the Rfam family "Bacterial small subunit ribosomal RNA", at positions 519 to 1426 of the family's 1533-position model. Lineage: Bacteria; Bacillati; Actinomycetota; Actinomycetes; Micrococcales; Micrococcaceae. The record is from RNAcentral.